AUGCGCAAGGAGCGUGGUCGAGCGCAGCCUCAGUAACACCGAGUCUCAGCGGCUUUCAGAGCCCGAAUCAAAGCCGCCGGGCUUCGCGGACGUGCGGCGUGGGACCCGGGGGACGGCAUUAGAUCCCCUGCUCUUCCUGAUACAUAUUGUUGACCUACUGGUUGGUGUAUGGGACACCAUUUCAAAAUUAGCGGAUGACAUGGAACUUGGAGGUAUUGUGAACUGUGAGGAGGAUAGUGUUAAACUUCAAAAGGACAUAAGCAUAUUGGUGAAAUGGGCCGAUAAGUUCGACCUCAGAAUGACCCGGGGCCGGCCCUGGGGAGCAUGCGCACUCUCAAUGCCGGGGAAGUCAGUGCAUUUGAUAGAGCGGUUUCUCGGAUGCAGGGAAUUGUGGGAAGUGCAGCCACCAUGGGCAGAUGUUAAUUGCCACUAUCCACAUGAUGCUGCCAGUGAAUUGUUGCAGGUGUUGCUCAGAAGCAAGGUCAGAAACUCAAACUGACAAAUGAAGAACACUUUUGAAGCAGAAAGGAUGUUGGACGUGGAAGCCGUUCCUCGCUUACUUUGAAGGACAUCUGUUGGGGAGCUCAGCCUGGCUGCACAACCCCACUUCACACCACCGCGAACAGAGCACAGAGCGGAAGACACACAGAGAAGCAGUAAGACAUGACCAGGUCACACAAAGACAGGCACAAAAAACUGCCUGUCAAACUAGGGAAGAAACUGAGAUGGAGAAACUGAUCAUUUAUGAUGAAAGAUAUUUGCUGUUGCAUGAAGAUCGGCCCUUUUUAAAAUAUAUUUCCUGUUGUGUAACUGUGCUUUCUGCUGUACAACUGUUCUCUCUGUCGUGGAACUGUGACAGACCUUCACUGUGGCUGUGUAAAAUGCUUCCCUGUUGUGCCAAUAUGUUCCUGGCUGUGUAAAAGCGCGACAUGUUUAGUAAAAGUGUUUUCUCUUGUGU
Long non-coding RNA from Carcharodon carcharias (great white shark), 958 nucleotides. RefSeq lists it as uncharacterized. The record is from RefSeq and is a predicted model, not a curated record. Lineage: Eukaryota; Metazoa; Chordata; Chondrichthyes; Lamniformes; Lamnidae. The transcript is spliced from 3 exons.